RNAcentral lists this ribosomal RNA (434 nucleotides) under uncultured Lachnospiraceae bacterium. RNAcentral's name for it is "bacterial SSU rRNA". It matches the Rfam family "Bacterial small subunit ribosomal RNA", at positions 341 to 792 of the family's 1533-position model. The record is from RNAcentral. Lineage: Bacteria; Bacillati; Bacillota; Clostridia; Lachnospirales; Lachnospiraceae.
ACGGAAGGCAGCAGUGGGGAAUAUUGCACAAUGGGGGAAACCCUGAUGCAGCGACGCCGCGUGAGUGAAGAAGUAUUUCGGUAUGUAAAGCUCUAUCAGCAGGGAAGAAAAUGACGGUACCUGACUAAGAAGCCCCGGCUAACUACGUGCCAGCAGCCGCGGUAAUACGUAGGGGGCAAGCGUUAUCCGGAUUUACUGGGUGUAAAGGGUGCGUAGGCGGCACGGCAAGUCAGAAGUGAAAUCCCAGGGCUCAACCCUGGAACUGCUUUUGAAACUGUCGAGCUAGAGUACAGGAGAGGUAAGCGGAAUUCCUAGUGUAGCGGUGAAAUGCGUAGAUAUUAGGAGGAACACCGGUGGCGAAGGCGGCUUUCUGGACUGUAACUGACGCUGAGGUACGAAAGCGUGGGGAGCAAACAGGAUUAGAUACCCUGGUA